CAACAUGGUGAAACCCCGUCUCUACUAAAAAUACAAAAAAUUAGCUGGGCAUGGUGGCGGGCGCCUGGAAUCCAAGCUAGUUGGGAGGCUGAGGCAGGAGAAUCAUUUGAACCCAGGAGGCAGAAGUUGCAGUGAGCCAAGAUGAUGCCAUUUCACUCCAGCCUGGGUGACAAGAGCAAAACUCUGUCUCAAAAAA
Long non-coding RNA from Sapajus apella (tufted capuchin), 196 nucleotides. RefSeq lists it as uncharacterized. NCBI's taxonomy places the organism in Eukaryota, Metazoa, Chordata, Mammalia, Primates, Cebidae. The record is from RefSeq and is a predicted model, not a curated record. The transcript has 2 exons.